Oncorhynchus keta (chum salmon) is the source of this 1084-nucleotide long non-coding RNA. RefSeq lists it as uncharacterized. The record is from RefSeq and is a predicted model, not a curated record. NCBI's taxonomy places the organism in Eukaryota, Metazoa, Chordata, Actinopteri, Salmoniformes, Salmonidae. The transcript has 4 exons.
CAGAGGUGAUGGAGUGGGUUAGUGUAACAUUACAACACACCAGAGGUGAUGGAGUGGGUUAGUGUAACAUUACAACACAGAGGUGAUGGAGUGGGUUAGUGUAACAUUACAACACACCAGAGGUGAUGGAGUGGGUUAGUGUAACAUUACAACACACCAGAGGUGAUGGAGUUGGUUAGUGUAACAUUACAACACACCAGAGGUGAUGGAGUGGGUUAGUGUAACAUUACAACACAGAGGUGAUGGAGUGGGUUAGUGUAACAUUACAACACACCAGAGGUGAUGGAGUGGGUUAGUGUAACAUUACAACACACCAGAGGUGAUGGAGUGGGUUAGUGUAACAUUACAACACAGAGGUGAUGGAGGGGGUUAGUGUAACAUUACAACACACCAGAGGUGAUGGAGUGGGUUAGUGUAACAUUACAACACAGAGGUGAUGGAGUGGGUUAGUGUAACAUUACAACACAGAGGUGAUGGAGUGGGUUAGUGUAACAUUACAACACAGAGGUGAUGGAGUGGGUUAGUGUAACAUUACAACACAGAGGUGAUGGAGUGGGUUAGUGUAACAUUACAACACACCAGAGGUGAUGGAGUGGGUUAGUGUAACAUUACAACACAGAGGUGAUGGAGUGGGUUAGUGUAACAUUACAACACACCAGAGGUGAUGGAGUGGGUUAGUGUAACAUUACAACACACCAGAGGUGAUGGAGUGGGUUAGUGUAACAUUACAACACACCAGAGGUGAUGGAGUGGGUUAGUGUAACAUUACAACACACCAGAGGUGAUGGAGUGGGUUAGUGUAACAUUACAACACAGAGGUGAUGGAGUGGGUUAGUGUAACAUUACAACACACCAGAGGUGAUGGAGUGGGUUAGUGUAACAUUACAACACAGAGGUGAUGGAGUGGGUUAGUGUAACAUUACAACACACCAGAGGUGAUGGAGUGGGUUAGUGUAACAUUACAACACACCAGAGGUGAUGGAGUGGGUUAGUGUAACAUUACAACACACCAGAGGUGAUGGAGUGGGUUAGUGUAACAUUACAACACACCAGAGGUGAUGGAGUGGGUUAGUGUAACAUUACA